AGCGAACGCUGGCGGCAGGCCUAACACAUGCCAGUCGAACGAACUCUUCGGAGUUAGUGGCGGACGGGUGAGUAACACGUGGGAACGUGCCUUUUGGUUCGGAAUAACUCAGGGAAACUUGUGCUAAUACCGAAUGUGCCCUUCGGGGGAAAGAUUUAUCGCCAUUAGAGCGGCCCGCGUCUGAUUAGCUAGUUGGUGAGGUAACGGCUCACCAAGGCGACGAUCAGUAGCUGGUCUGAGAGGAUGACCAGCCACACUGGGACUGAGACACGGCCCAGACUCCUACGGGAGGCAGCAGUGGGGAAUCGUGCGCAAUGGGCGAAAGCCUGACGCAGCCAUGCCGCGUGAAUGAUGAAGGUCUUAGGAUUGUAAAAUUCUUUCACCGGGGACGAUAAUGACGGUACCCGGAGAAGAAGCCCCGGCUAACUUCGUG
Molecule: ribosomal RNA, 433 nt
Filed under: uncultured bacterium
Lineage: Bacteria
Description: partial 16S ribosomal RNA
Rfam family: Bacterial small subunit ribosomal RNA
Source: RNAcentral